RNAcentral lists this ribosomal RNA (380 nucleotides) under uncultured eukaryote. RNAcentral's name for it is "partial 18S ribosomal RNA". It matches the Rfam family "Eukaryotic small subunit ribosomal RNA", at positions 592 to 976 of the family's 1831-position model. The record is from RNAcentral.
CAAUAGCGUAUAUUAAAGUUGUUGCAGUUAAAAAGCUCGUAGUUGGAUUUGUGGCGUACGGUGUGUUCCGGGCACUUGUUGUCUGAGUAACCUGCUGUUGCCAUCCUUGGGUGGAACCUGUGUGGCAUUAGGUUGUCGUGCAGGGGAUGCCCAUCAUUUACUGUGAAAAAAUUAGAGUGUUCAAAGCAGGCUUAUGCCGUUGAAUAUAUUAGCAUGGAAUAAUGAGAUAGGACUUUUUUGCUAUUUUGUUGGUUUGCGCAAAGAGGUAAUGAUUAAUAGGGACAGCUGGGGGUAUUCGUAUUCCAUUGUCAGAGGUGAAAUUCUUGGAUUUUUGGAAGACGAACUACUGCGAAAGCAUUUACCAAGGAUGCUUUCAUUAA